AGAUGUAAAACCCUCCUCCGUUGCCCUCGUGGGGUCUAAAAAUGAGAGCUGCGUGAGGGUUAAGGCCAAAAUGGCCACCUUCUGUGUACGUCCCAAAAUGUUCUAAGUCCUUUAAAAACGCCACAUUCAGGCAAGUGAAUGCAACGGCAUGGCUUGCCAAGCUUAAAAGAGCUCCUGUCACUCUCUGCUCUCGCUUACGGCCAUACCACCCUGAGCACGCCCGAUCUCGUCUGAUCUCGGAGGAUAAGCAAGGUCGGGCCUGGUUAGUACUUGGAUGGUAGACCGCCUGGGAAUACCAGGUGCUGUAAGCGUUAACAUUUCUCCUCAACCCUAGCAGAGCGGGCUGUUUGCGCAGGUCCACAUUAUACUGCACCGUGUUAUGGGAAGAGUGUUUUCUUUCUUAUUCUAUACAGUUAUUAUAUGAUUUCUGACCUAUCUUCUGCUAUUAAUAGCUAUUGUUUUUUAUUACUUCUGUUUUAUGUAUUUGACAUUUUACCUAGAUUGUUCAAUUAUUUGUUAACUCUAUAAUUACAUCGUUCUUAGACAACAGACGCUAUUACCUGCAAGAAUAUUCUGUUUUCAGUCACAGUGCUGCUUUUGCUUUGUUCACAGUUCAUGUCUGUGGUUGGUGACACAUUACAAGUAAUGAUUUUGGCUUCUCUCUAUUUGUUUUGUUUAAACGAAGAGCGAAACGCAAAAAAGGGGGUAUUGUGUUUAAGGCCAAAAUGGCCACCGUCUGUGUACGUCCAGAAAUGCUCUAGGUCCUUUAAAAACGCCACAUUCCGGCAAGUGGAUGCACUGGCGUGGCUUGCCAAGCUUAAAAGAGCUCCUGUCAUGCUUUGCUAUCGCUUACGGCCAUACCACCCAGAGCACGCCCGAUCUCGUCUGAUCUCGGAAGCCAAGCAGGGUCGGGCUUGGUUAGUACUUGGAUGGAAGACCACCUGGGAAUACCAGGUGCUGUGGGCUUUUACAUUUCUCCUCAACCCUAGCAGAGCGGGCUGUUUGCUCAGGUCCACAUUAUACUGCACCGUGUUAUGGGAAAAGUUUUUUCUUUCUUAUUCUAUGCAGGUAUUAUGUGAUUUAUGAUCUAUCUUCUGCAAUUAAUAUCUAUUGUUUUUAUUACUUCUGUUUUAUGUAUUUGACAUUUUCACCUAGAUUGUUCAAUUAUUUGUUAACUCUAUAAUUGCAUCGUUCUUAGACAACAGACGCUAUUACCUGCAAGAAUAUUCUGUUUUCAGUCACAGUGCUGCUUUUGCUUUGUUCACAGUUCAUGCCUAUGGUCGGUGACACAUUACAAGUAAUGACUUUGGCUUCUAUCUAUUUGAUUUGUUUAAAGGGAGAGCGAAAUACAAAAAUGGGAUAUUGUGUUUAAGGCCAAAAUGGCCACCGUCUGUGUACGUCCCAAAAUGUUCUAAGUCCUUUAUAAACGCCACAUUCAGGCAAGUGGAGGCAACGGCGUGGCUUGCCAUGCUUAAAAGAGCUCCUGUCACUCUCUGCUCUAGCUUACGGCCAUACCACCCUGAGCACGCCUGAUCUCGUCUGAUCUCGGAAGCUAACCAGGGUCGGGCCUGGUUAGUACUUGGAUGGGAGACUGCCUGGGAAUACCACGUGCUGUAAGCUUUUGAAUUUCUCUUCAACCCUAGCAGAGCGGGCUGUUUGCUUAGGUCCACAUUAUACUACACCGUGUUAUGGGAAAAGUGUUUUCUUUCUUAUUGUAAGCAGUUAUUGUAUGAUUUAUGAGGUAUCUUCUGAAAUAAUAUCUUGUGUUUUUUAUUACUUUUAUUUUAUGUAUUUGACAUUUCACCUAGAUUGUUCAAUUAUUUGUUAACUCAAUAAUUGCAUCGUUCUUAGACAACAGACGCUAUUACCUGCAAAAAUAUUCUGUUUUCAGUCACAGAGCUGCUUUUGCUUUGUUCACAGUUCAUGCCUAUGGUCGGUGACACAUUACAAGUAAUGACUUUGGCUUCUCUCUAUUUGUUUGGUAUAAAAGGAGAGCGAAAUACGAAAAAGGGGAUAUUGUGUUAAAGGCCAAAAUGGCCACCUUCUGUGUACGUCCCAAAAUGUUCUAAGUCCUUUAUAAGCGCCA
Molecule: long non-coding RNA, 2086 nt
Filed under: Betta splendens (Siamese fighting fish)
Lineage: Eukaryota; Metazoa; Chordata; Actinopteri; Anabantiformes; Osphronemidae
Source: RNAcentral